UGAUUGGCAUGGGCGAAAGCCUGAUCAGCAAUGCCGCGUGUGAAGAAGGCCUUCGGGUUGUAAAGCACUUUUGUCCGGAAAGAAAUGGCUCUGGUUAAUACCUGGGGUCGAUGACGGUACCGGAAGAAUAAGGACCGGCUAACUACGUGCCAGCAGCCGCGGUAAUACGUAGGGUCCAAGCGUUAAUCGGAAUUACUGGGCGUAAAGCGUGCGCAGGCGGUUGUGCAAGACCGAUGUGAAAUCCCCGAGCUUAACUUGGGAAUUGCAUUGGUGACUGCACGGCUAGAGUGUGUCAGAGGGGGGUAGAAUUCCACGUGUAGCAGUGAAAUGCGUAGAGAUGUGGAGGAAUACCGAUGGCGAAGGCAGCCCCCUGGGAUAACACUGACGCUCAUGCACGAAAGCGUGGGGAG
RNAcentral lists this ribosomal RNA (410 nucleotides) under uncultured bacterium. RNAcentral's name for it is "bacterial SSU rRNA". It matches the Rfam family "Bacterial small subunit ribosomal RNA", at positions 359 to 768 of the family's 1533-position model. The record is from RNAcentral.